AUUGAACGCUGGCGGCAUGCUUUACACAUGCAAGUCGAACGGCAGCGCGGGCUUCGGCCUGGCGGCGAGUGGCGAACGGGUGAGUAAUGCAUCGGAACGUGCCCAGUAGUGGGGGAUAGCCCGGCGAAAGCCGGAUUAAUACCGCAUACGACCUGAGGGUGAAAGCGGGGGACCGAAAGGCCUCGCGCUAUUUGAGCGGCCGAUGUCGGAUUAGCUAGUUGGUUGGGUAAAGGCUUACCAAGGCGACGAUCCGUAGCUGGUCUGAGAGGACGACCAGCCACACUGGGACUGAGACACGGCCCAGACUCCUACGGGAGGCAGCAGUGGGGAAUUUUGGACAAUGGGGGCAACCCUGAUCCAGCAAUGCCGCGUGCGGGAAGAAGGCCUUCGGGUUGUAAACCGCUUUUGUUCGGGAAGAAAUCCUCUGGGCUAAUACCCCGGGGGGAUGACGGUACCGGAAGAAUAAGCACCGGCUAACUACGUG
Molecule: ribosomal RNA, 484 nt
Filed under: uncultured bacterium
Lineage: Bacteria
Description: partial 16S ribosomal RNA
Rfam family: Bacterial small subunit ribosomal RNA
Source: RNAcentral